This is a long non-coding RNA of Agelaius phoeniceus (red-winged blackbird), 549 nucleotides long. RefSeq lists it as uncharacterized. The record is from RefSeq and is a predicted model, not a curated record. Lineage: Eukaryota; Metazoa; Chordata; Aves; Passeriformes; Icteridae.
UUGCUGAUGCCCCAGUGAGAAGAACACAAACUCACAGCCAUUCAGCCUGACAGUCCCCUCCACCCAGAGCUCAGCACACAUCCUCAGAGCAGCCAGCAGGGAAGGGAGAAGAGGAUCCCUGUGGGAUGAGGCUGGAGAGAGCGAGCAGAGGAGCAGCCUCAGGCUGGAGAAAGGCAAAGGGACCAACAUGGUGUCACCAGGGCACCUGUGAGGAACAGAAUGGACACUUGGAGGCCCCAUGGAGGAAAGGGAUGUGCAUCUCUGUCUUCAGCACACCUUCAGUGGGACCUACCUGUGAAAGCUUUCCAUGACAUCUGCACUUCCAGCUGGAUCCCUGGAAAACUCCAAACUCCAUCCCACUGAUUUUCAGGAGCUUCUGGCCUCCUCCUGCCCUGCGCUCCCAGCCAGCUGGGACACACUGAGGGAACACCAAGGAGCAUCACUGGCAGCAAGCAGGAGAGACACCAAGGCCUCUGGGCCAGAAAAACAGCCCUGGCCUCAGCAGCCAUCAUCGUUUUGACCUGGCAACACUCACCUGCAGGAAACACC